This is a non-coding RNA of Paramuricea clavata, 2024 nucleotides long. The record is from the annotation of a GenBank genome assembly. NCBI's taxonomy places the organism in Eukaryota, Metazoa, Cnidaria, Anthozoa, Malacalcyonacea, Plexauridae.
AGCUAAAUAAAUAAAUAAAUAAAUAAAUAGCAGAUACGAGUUCGUUACCUAAAUGAGUGACCCUCGCUUAUAUUUAAUCUCUCUGAUCUUUUCAGUGUGAUUGGUGCGUACCAACUGCAGGUUGACUUUAACUAUGUUAAACUAUGGUUAACCUCUGAAGCCUCCACCCUCAGCAGUUCUCUCCAGUCCGAUCUCGCUUUUCUCGACGUUUUCCGACACCUGAACGAAGCUGUCCGACUGUUGAUGAUCCAGCCAAAGAACAAACGGAAUCGAAUUGUUGUGAACGAGAAUGGCCUCGAUCCUGAAAUGGAGUCAAACUUGAGCACAAUCAGCGGUAGUUCUGUACUCUCAGGUACUUCAAGUUACGACGGUGAAACGGACUUGCUGAAUAACCAAGUGAUUCCCAAUAAAGAUCAGUGGUUAAAUUUGAGGUUAAGAAAGGGAAAACCUAGAAUGCCGCUUGUAAUUCCAAGCUGUUUAAGAGCUUCUGAGCAAACGUAAUAACAUGAAAUAUUUUGGUCAUUUACUGCUGCGGAUUGCCUUACUAGAUUCUCGGAUGAGGAAUUAUGGCAGUGAAAAGAAGGUUUUCAGAGGCCGGUUGUUCAAAGCCAGGUUAGCUUAACCCUAGGUUAACCUAAUAUUCAAAGCAAAUUUCCUGACAGCUUGUCUAUAAAUUUGGAAAUAUUUCUUCAGAGAUCUUGUCUGGAUCGAUAGGAGUUUACUUCUCGGAGGUUUUGAAAUAAACAGACAUGCAAAAAUACUCAAACUAAUACAACAGGUUAAAUUUUAACCCAGGGUUAGCGCUAACCCACCUUUGAACAACCGGCCAAUUUGGAAUAGCCUUCGACCACAGCUUUGACUGUGCACAAGAAACAAAAGUUAUAUAUAGUCAUAGUAUUUUUAAAUUUUAAGAUAUUGCGCAAGAAGUGUCCCACUUCGUCCCCGCUAUGGAUUUACAUUGUAGAGGUUAAGACUUAAGAUACCCUGGUUCCGGUUUAUGGGUUCAGGUGAUAAACACGUACCGUACAUUGGGGGUACGAAAUUAAGAAACCCAUGAUAUUCCAGGGUACGAAAACCGAUCCGAGAAUGGUAGUUUUCGUUGUCAAGGUUCACCAUGGAUUUGGAAAAAAAUUGUCUAGCAAAUGUGCAUUAAUUUAUUUAGGUAAGAUGUUGAAGUAUUUUAAAACACCCGUACCCGUUUGUCUUUUACGCGUAGACCAUGGUUUACCGCGAGGAAACGGGUAGAAAUUACGGGUAAACAUACUGGCAUCAGCAAAAUGUGGUAAACAAAAUGGCGACACCCGUAAACCGGAACCGGGUAUCCUAACCUCUCCAUUUAUGGUUCUCUGCGCGCCUACAAACGCCAUUAAGAAUACGUCUUGUGAAUAAUUUAUAUAGCGCCUGCAUGGAGACGAGGCAGAGCAAUGCGCAGAAUGGUGUGUAACUCAGUCUUGCUGCGCUCGGCAUGAAUGGUGUUGUACAGAAAAAUACAAAUGUACUGGAACAUGAUACCGAAAUUAUAACCAACUAAUUAUAAUUACAUGUAUCAAACUGUUUCGAGCGUGGCAUACUUUUUCAUAUAUAUAUAUGUGUUAUUGGUCGAUGGUGUUAAAUGGUUUCCAGUACAAGACAAUGGAAAUUUUUUAUCAGGAUAACUAGUCGAACAUGAAAUUAAUAAAACCAUACGAGGUUUUUCGGAGUUCCCAUUGUCUUUUUAUGUUCCCAACGUCUUUGUCAAAAGGCGGCGAUGAUGUAAUUCACCCGCCAAGCCGUUAGAUGGUUUCCAUUCGUGGUCAUGAUGGUCGCGAGCAUAUGUCAAGGUAGCCGAUAUAAAAGAAGUGUCGAUGUAUCUCAUUCAAUGAUGUAUCUCCACAAUUUAAAAUAGUUGAAACGCACAACAAAAUGAAAAUGACAGCCAGACUAAAACAGUGAACUCCAGAAUAAAUUGAGUUCACUGGCCUAAAACUAGCCUAUACAUCAAUACAUCAGACGGUUAGCACUAUUUUCCAUCCAGCAAACCGCCC